UACGUAGGGGGCGAGCGUUGUCCGGAAUUAUUGGGCGUAAAGCGCACACAGGCGGUCCUUCAAGUUCGAGGUGACAAUCACCGACUUAACUAGUGAACGACUUCGAAAACUGGGGGGACUUGAGAGCGAGAGAGGGACCUGGAACUCCAGGUGGAGCAGUGAAAUGCGUAGAGAUCCGGAAGAACACCAAUGGCGAAGGCAGAGUCCUGGCUCGUUUCUGACGCUCAGGUGCGAAAGCCAGGGGAGCGAACGGG
RNAcentral lists this ribosomal RNA (254 nucleotides) under uncultured bacterium. Its description in RNAcentral is "partial 16S ribosomal RNA". It matches the Rfam family "Bacterial small subunit ribosomal RNA", at positions 524 to 776 of the family's 1533-position model. The record is from RNAcentral.